AUGGUAGAGGUUGCGCAAAUUAUGAGUAGGCUGUGGGAUGUGGCAGGCACAGGAGAACACAGCAGAAAGGGAGGAGCGCCGAAAGAAAGGGAUGUCUGCAGUUCUUUUCUUGGGCAUACGGUUAACAGCCGUAUGACUGUCAGAAGCGCAGCGCGCAGAUGGAGAGCUAUCAG
This 173-nucleotide non-coding RNA is filed under the name uncultured Agathobacter sp. RNAcentral describes it as "Lysine riboswitch". It matches the Rfam family "Lysine riboswitch aptamer". From Rfam's summary of the family: Riboswitches are metabolite binding domains within certain messenger RNAs that serve as precision sensors for their corresponding targets. Lineage: Bacteria; Bacillati; Bacillota; Clostridia; Lachnospirales; Lachnospiraceae. The record is from RNAcentral.